This 253-nucleotide ribosomal RNA is filed under the name uncultured bacterium. RNAcentral describes it as "partial 16S ribosomal RNA". It matches the Rfam family "Bacterial small subunit ribosomal RNA", at positions 524 to 776 of the family's 1533-position model. The record is from RNAcentral.
GACAGAGGUGCCGAGCGUUAGGCGGAAUCACUGGGCGUAAAGCGCGCGCAGGCGGCUAUCCAAGUCAGUGGUGAAAGCCCGGAGCUCAACUCCGGAACUGCCAUUGAAACUGUUUAGCUUGAGGAUGAGAGAGGUGAGUGGAAUUCCCAGUGUAGAGGUGAAAUUCGUAGAUAUUGGGAAGAACACCGGUGGCGAAGGCGGCUCACUGGCUCAUUACUGACGCUCAGGCGCGAUAGCGUGGGGAUCAAACAGG